AGAAGUGAGGAAACAGGCUCCAAAAGCUUGUUACUUGCUUGUAGUCAAACAGAAGGCAGAGCUGCGAAUCAAAUCCAGGUUUGUCUCGACAUGCCACUAGCUCAUACUUCCCUUGGAUCAGCCACUAAAUGGCUUUCACUCCAGUGAGCAGCGACCAGCACCAGAAUUAUGGAACAUUUAUCAACAGCCUAAAAUAAAGACAACACGAGGAGAAUUUGGUUGCUUAUAUAGAUUCAAGGUACAAUCCUGCUGGAUUCUGGGAUUACAGGACUGUAGACAAAAGAGAAAUCAUCAUGGACUGUUCACUGGACAAAAUUUCAUGGAGAGGAGAAGACCUUUGGCGGUUCAUGGAUGUUCUAUAAUAAGUUAGAAGAAAUAUCACAGUGUGCAUGCACAGAAGUACGACCAUGUGAAGAGGUAGCAAGAGAGCAGCAAUCUACAAGCCAAGGAAAGAGGCCACAGAGGAAACCAACCCUGCCAGCAUCUUGAUCUUGGACUUCCAGCUUCCAGAACUAACCAGGGACCCCACUCCCAUGCCGACAGUAUGGGCUGCUGUCUUCAGGACCAUUGCAAGUGUCCUUCACGGUUCGGUUCACAUUUCACAAGCCCCAUGAAGUCUAUCUGGAUUUUCGAUGGAUGUCUUGCCUUUUCCUCUACACACUACAGGAAGAGUGGCCACCCCUGCCAAGGGCCUAGUAUAGUACCCUAUACAUGUAGCUGAUCAGUUGAUUGUUACUGAUCAUAUGUAUCCUGCAUCAUGUUAUAAAAAAUUAACACAGUGCUUGGCACAUACUUGUACUGAAUGUCAGAGCUGCAGCAUGAUCUGGAGGCUUUCCUCGCUUUCUUCUGCUUCCCCUCCCUUGAUCCUUCACAGGCAUUUUCCUCAAUACAUCUCUUGCCUGGCUAA
This 907-nucleotide long non-coding RNA is filed under the name Homo sapiens (human). Its description in RNAcentral is "long intergenic non-protein coding RNA 1359". Lineage: Eukaryota; Metazoa; Chordata; Mammalia; Primates; Hominidae. The record is from RNAcentral.